RNAcentral lists this ribosomal RNA (581 nucleotides) under uncultured Lachnospiraceae bacterium. RNAcentral describes it as "bacterial SSU rRNA". It matches the Rfam family "Bacterial small subunit ribosomal RNA", at positions 133 to 731 of the family's 1533-position model. The record is from RNAcentral. Lineage: Bacteria; Bacillati; Bacillota; Clostridia; Lachnospirales; Lachnospiraceae.
AUACAGGGGGAUAACAGUCAGAAAUGACUGCUAAUACCGCAUAAGCGCACAGAGCUGCAUGGCUCGGUGUGAAAAACUCCGGUGGUAUAAGAUGGACCCGCGUUGGAUUAGCUAGUUGGUGAGGUAACGGCCCACCAAGGCGACGAUCCAUAGCCGGCCUGAGAGGGUGAACGGCCACAUUGGGACUGAGACACGGCCCAGACUCCUACGGGAGGCAGCAGUGGGGAAUAUUGCACAAUGGGGGAAACCCUGAUGCAGCGACGCCGCGUGAAGGAAGAAGUAUCUCGGUAUGUAAACUUCUAUCAGCAGGGAAGAAUUAGGACGGUACCUGACUAAGAAGCCCCGGCUAACUACGUGCCAGCAGCCGCGGUAAUACGUAGGGGGCAAGCGUUAUCCGGAUUUACUGGGUGUAAAGGGAGCGUAGACGGAUGGACAAGUCUGAUGUGAAAGGCUGGGGCUCAACCCCGGGACUGCAUUGGAAACUGCCCGUCUUGAGUGCCGGAGAGGUAAGCGGAAUUCCUAGUGUAGCGGUGAAAUGCGUAGAUAUUAGGAGGAACACCAGUGGCGAAGGCGGCUUACUG